UCUCCUGUAGCUCAGUCAGGUAGAGUGUUCGACCAAUGUGCGGAAGGUCAUAGGUUCAACUCCUGUUGCGAAAA
This is a non-coding RNA of Desmophyllum pertusum, 74 nucleotides long. NCBI's taxonomy places the organism in Eukaryota, Metazoa, Cnidaria, Anthozoa, Scleractinia, Caryophylliidae. The record is from the annotation of a GenBank genome assembly.